Molecule: long non-coding RNA, 631 nt
Filed under: Equus asinus (donkey)
Lineage: Eukaryota; Metazoa; Chordata; Mammalia; Perissodactyla; Equidae
Description: lncRNA (ENSEASG00005026120.1)
Source: RNAcentral
CUCUUCCCUCCCUCAGGUCCCGCCAGCCAGCUGGAGCAUCUGCCCAUCCGGUUAGGGUGGUCUCUGGGGAUCGGUAGGUGGAGACAAGGCAGCUCUACAUCAUGCCGGCCCAGAGGACGUGUGCUGGGCGAGCUGUGUCCGUGAGAGAAUGCAGUGCUGGGGCCUUGUCUCCUGUAGCUCAUCAACUGCCCCAGGGUCAGGUGGGUGGGGUGCCCGAAGCUGUCCAAGCACCAGCCGAGCAUCUGUGUUGCUUGCUGGGGAGACAACUUGUCACAGUUUCCUUCAACUGUGAGUCACCCCUGCACCUCCAAGAAGCAGCUCUGGAAGCCCGUUGAGGAAACACACAGGGGAGACUGGCAGCAGCUUCAGCCCAUCUGGAAACCAUAAACGGGCUCCUUGCCUCGGUGACCCGUCACUACUCAGCUGGAGCUGCCAUCCCCGUGGACACACCUGACUGCCCAGCACGUGGGGAAGCAGACCCGUCAGCCAACUCCAUGUCACUGCAGAGUCAGCAGCCAACGUCGGACGUGAACCUGAUAGCUCUAGCCAGGACGUUCUCAUGCAUUCCUCUCCGCCUUUACCCAUGGCCAACACUAAUUCUUAGAAACAAGACAUAUAGAACUAUCUUUCU